Molecule: long non-coding RNA, 426 nt
Filed under: Salmo salar (Atlantic salmon)
Lineage: Eukaryota; Metazoa; Chordata; Actinopteri; Salmoniformes; Salmonidae
Description: lncRNA (ENSSSAG00000102620.1, ENSSSAG00020010434.1, ENSSSAG00075057829.1)
Source: RNAcentral
UUCAUUAUUGUGUAUUAUAUUCCUCGUGUGUAACUAUUUUUUAACUCUGCAUGGUUGGGAAGUGCUGUAAGUGAGCUCAGAGGCUUUCCUGGGACUGUAACGCCAUCUACUGGCUAUAACCUGCCAAUCAGUUCUGGAAGGACAAAGACACCCCUUAUUUCUGAGAAGUAUCUCUCAUGUGUCAUGUUGCUUACAAAGAGGAGGUUAGAGCUCUGGCAGAGUGGUGCCAGGGUGCAUGCUGCCUGCCCUGUAGGACAGCACUCGAUGUCAAAGGAAGGCCAAGAUGAUCAUCAAGGACCUCAGCCACCCAAGUCAUGGUCUGUUCACUCUGCUACCAUCUAGCAGACAAAGACAGUACAGCUUCUAUCUCCAGGCCAUCAGACUGUUGAAAAGCCAUCUCACCAUCUCCUGUAGUAAGAGACAAUG